AGAGUUUGAUCCUGGCUCAGGAUGAACGCUGGCGGCGUGCUUAACACAUGCAAGUCGAGCGGAGAUAAAUUGAAAGCUUGCUUUUAAUUUAUCUUAGCGGCGGACGGGUGAGUAACGUGUGGGCAACCUGCCUCAUACAGAGGGAUAAUCAUGUGAAAACGUGACUAAUACCGCAUGUCGUUUCGGGAGGGCAUCCUCCUGAAAGAAAAGGAGCAAUCCGGUAUGAGAUGGGCCCGCAUCUGAUUAGCUAGUUGGUGAGAUAACAGCCCACCAAGGCGACGAUCAGUAGCCGACCUGGAGAGGGUGAUCGGCCCACAUUGGGACUGAGACACGGCCCAAACUCCUACGGGAGGCAGCA
Molecule: ribosomal RNA, 358 nt
Filed under: uncultured bacterium
Lineage: Bacteria
Description: bacterial SSU rRNA
Rfam family: Bacterial small subunit ribosomal RNA
Source: RNAcentral